CCGACUCUGUGCGACCCCAGAGACGGCAGCCCACCAGGCUCCCCCAUCCCUGGGAUUCUCCAGGCAAGAACACUGGAGUGGGUUGCCAUUUCCUUCUCCUAAGUAAUUUUUUGCUUGUUCAUUAAUUAUGUAUUUAUAUAUACAUAUAUAUUUACACAUGAGUUUCUCACACACACAUAGACCUUGUAUAUACCUUCUUAUCUGAGUAGAUAUAUUCAUUUGGGUUCACCAACACUCCAUUCAUAGAGACAUAAAACAUCAUUCAACAUGGCAGCUUGUUUCCAUAGACACCCAGCAACCCAUUCAUAGGGAAGAAACCUUUCAGUCUUGUUUCUAAAUCCUAUUAACAGGGACAGUUACUUGUAUUCUAAUACUCCAUAUACAUCACUUGUGUUCGCAAACACUUCAUUCAUGGAUACAAACACGUCACUCGUUCUGAUUAGAUACACUCGUCAUUACACCAACAUUCAAUUCAGAGAUAAGUAAGCAAUCAUUCAGCUAUACUCUUGAGUAGAUAUAUUCAUUUCCAUUUUAGCCACAUUUUAUUCCAGAUUCAUAGUAUGUGUUAUAUAGAUGUUUCCUUUCAGUAGACAGCUUUUUUUCCCCCCUUCUUUUUGGCUGCACUUUUUGUGGGACCUUAGUUCCCUGACCAGGGAUUGAAGCCAGGCUUCUUGCAGUGAAAGCACGGGGUCCUAACACAUGAACCACUAGGGAAUUCCUGACACCUUUUUUGUUUUCUACCAACAUGCCAUUUAGACAUAUUUUCUAUUGCUCACUUUUGUAUAUAAAUCCUUCCUUUUAGUAGAUACACUCAUUUAGAUUCACAAACUCUUCAUUCAUGGAGAUAUAAAAGAUAUAUUCAAUUAUGUAUAUAGAAAUUUCUUAUGUUGAAAUAUUUUCUUCUAUAUUCUAUUUUCCUAUUAUAGAUACGUAGCAUAUAGCUGAGUUGGGUGUGUAUAGUUGUUCCCACUCUACAGUAGUUUAUUCUCAAAGAUACCAAUCAUUCUUGUAUUCAGAUAUUUCCUGAGUAAAUUGUUUUAUACAAACUG
Molecule: long non-coding RNA, 1049 nt
Organism: Bos taurus (domestic cattle)
Lineage: Eukaryota; Metazoa; Chordata; Mammalia; Artiodactyla; Bovidae
Source: Ensembl